UUCGAUCAUGGCUCAGAUUGAACGCUGGGAUGCUUUACACAUGCAAGUCGAACGGCAGCACGGACUUCGGUCUGGUGGCGAGUGGCGAACGGGUGAGUAAUGUAUCGGAACACGAUGCCUAGUAGCGGGGAUAACUACGCGAAAGCGUAGCUAAUGCCCUGUCGCGCCUCCGGAAAGCGGGGACCUUCCCGGAACUCGCACUAUUAGAGCGGCCGAUAUCGGAUUAGCUAGUUGGUGGGGUAACGGCUCACCAAGGCGACGAUCCGUAGCUGGUUUGAGAGGACGACCAGCCACACUGGGACUGAGACACGGCCCAGACUCCUACGGGAGGCAGCGAGUGGGGAAUUUUUGGACAAUGGGGGAAACCCUGAUCCAGCCAUCCCGCGUGUGCGAUGAAGGCCUUCCCAGUUGUAAAAGCACUUUUGGCAGGAAAAGAAGCACGGGAUAUACCCCGUGCAACUGACGGUACCCUGCAGAAUAAGCACCGGCUUAACUACGUGCCAGCAGCCGCGGUAAUACGUAGGGUGCAGGCGUUAAUCGGAAUUACUGGGCGUAAAGCGUGCGCAGGCGGUUCCGGAAAGAAAGAUGUGAAAUCCCAGAGCUUAACUUUGGAACUGCAUUUUUAACUACCGAGCUAGAGUGUGUCAGAGGGAGGUGGAAUUCCCGCGUGUAGCAGUGAAAUGCGUAGAUAUGCGGAGGAACACCGAUGGCGAGCAGCCUCCUGGGAUAACACUGACGCUCAUGCACGAAAAGCGUGGGGAGCAGAGCAGAGUUAGAUACCCUGGUAGUCCACGCCCUAAACGAUGUCAACUAGCUGUUGGGGCCUUCGGCCUUGGUAGCGCAGCUAACGCGUGAAGUUGACCGCCUGGGGAAAUUACGGUCAUAGUUAAACUCAAGGAAUUGACGGGGACCCACCCACGAAGCGGUGGAUGAUGUGGACUACAAUUCGAUGCAACGCGAAAAGCCUUACCUACCCUUGACAUGUCUGGAAUCCCGAAGAGAUUUGGGAGUGCUCGCAAGAGAACCGGAACACAGGUGCUGCAUACGGCUGUCGUCAGCUCGUGUCGUGAGAUGUUGAGUUAAGUCCCGCAACGAGCGCAACCCUUGUCGUUGGUUGCUGAAGAAGGCAUCGACAGACCUGAUAUCAGCAGAGGAAGGUGGGGAUGACGUCGAGUCCUCAUGGCCCUUAUGGGUAGGGCUUCACACGUCAUACAAUGGUCGGGACAGAGGGUCGCCAACCCCGCGAGGGGGAGCCAAUCCCAGAACCCGAUCGUAGUCCGGAUCGCAGUCUGCAACUCGACUGCGUGAAGUCGGAAUCCGCUAGUAAUCGCGGAUCAGCAUGUCGCGGUGAAUACGUUCCCGGGUCUUGUACACACCGCCCGUCACACCAUGGGAGUGGGUUUUACCAGUAGUUAGCCUAACCGUAAGGAGGGCGAUUACCGGUAGGAUUCAUGACUGGGGUAAAGUCGUAACAAGGUAG
This 1480-nucleotide ribosomal RNA is filed under the name uncultured Bordetella sp. RNAcentral's name for it is "partial 16S-23S ribosomal RNA intergenic spacer". It matches the Rfam family "Bacterial small subunit ribosomal RNA". Lineage: Bacteria; Pseudomonadati; Pseudomonadota; Betaproteobacteria; Burkholderiales; Alcaligenaceae. The record is from RNAcentral.